GAUGAACGCUGGCGGCGUGCCUAAUACAUGCAAGUCGAGCGAACGGACGAGAAGCUUGCUUCUCUGAUGUUAGCGUCGGACGGGUGAGUAACACGUGGAUAACCUACCUAUAAGACUGGGAUAACUUCGGGAAACCGGAGCUAAUACCGGAUAAUAUUUUGAACCGCAUGGUUCAAAAGUGUAAGACGGUCUUGCUUUCACUUAUAGAUGGAUCGGCGCUGCAUUAGCUAGUUGGUAAGGUAACGGCUUCCCAAGGCAACGAUGCAUAGCCGACCUGAGAGGGUGCUCGGCCCACCUGAACCUGAGAACCGGUCCAGACCCCUACGGGAGGCAGCAGUAGGGAAUCUUCCGCAAGGGGCGAAAGCCUGACGGAGCAACGCCGCGUGAGUGAUGAAGGUCUUCGGAUCGUAAAUCUCUGUUAUUAGGGAAGAACAUAUGUGUAAGUAACUGUGCACAUCUUGACGGUACCUAAUCAGAAAGCCACGCCUAACUACGU
RNAcentral lists this ribosomal RNA (496 nucleotides) under uncultured bacterium. Its description in RNAcentral is "partial 16S ribosomal RNA". It matches the Rfam family "Bacterial small subunit ribosomal RNA", at positions 28 to 506 of the family's 1533-position model. The record is from RNAcentral.